UGAACUCUCCUGGCUGUGACCGUUAAUGUGCUUAAUCAAUGGUACUAACCCUGUUUAGGGCAUGGUUUUACAUUUUAUCAAUGUGAAUCAUGCAUCAUCCUUGUGUUAUGUGGAGGUAUUCCAGAUGUGACGUGAAGGUAGCAGGUGUUUUAUUUCUCUAAGGUUAAUUUAAAUCUUAUGCCACUGAAAAUCACUUAUUGUGUGAAUAAUAUACAAAUAGUGAAAGCAAUGCAAACUGUGGGUGUGAAACCAAGCCAGUCUUGACCUAGACCGAGUAAGUGUCUGGACUGCUGACACAUCUGGGUCUAGACAGGCUUGGUAUCAGGGUGCUCUCUGCAUGUAUACUGGUUUGUUAAUGGGAGAGCCACCAGAGGCAGUAAUAAUUAGAAAUCCCUCUCACGAUGUUGACCUCAUUCAGACAUUCAGCUCAUUGCUUGACAGACUGUCCAUUUAUGUAUCUGACUGAUAUUUUUGCAGACUCACAGCAUAGUAGUAAUCUGUGUUCAUUUAACGUAGGGUCUUCUGAUAGUUUUCCAUGUUUCUCUCUCUCUCUGACUGGAAUUUAGUUUGAUAACAUUUGCAAUGGCUGAUAUUCACUACAUUAUUAAUGCAGUGUUUUAAGUUUGUUUAUUCUUUUAUCUUUCAGUUCACUUUGGGGGCUUUUACUUGUAAACAGGUCAGCGGGAAGGGGUCAAAGGUCCUAAGAUCAAAGAUUGAAUGUGGGAAAAAAACGUAAGACAAGAAUGAGGCACAUUAGGUGUGGAAAGUCAAAAAGGCAGUGUUGUUUGCACAUUGUGUGCCAAUGUGUAAACAUUUGACACAAUGUUAACCUGUAAAGUGCACAUUAACAAUGUUAAAAGUUGAUCUUGACCUUUCUGAACAGGCUGUGGACAAGUCAGGCUAAACCACUUCUGUAAACUGAAGCACUGCCCCAACAAUACUUAACAAGGACACUGUCAUCUUAAAAAGAUUAUUCAGCUGUUUCUCGUUUUUCAUACAUACAAAACAAUACAAAUUUAUAUUAUAAAACAAAAUUACGUUUUUUACUUUUGAAGGUACAAUUCACUGCCAGUAAAGGUUGCCCCAGUGUUUGAGAUAUGGUUUACUAUGAUGACAUGUCUACCAACCACAUCGAUUUAAACAUUUUUAGUGUAAUACAUAUUAUUUACCUUUUACAGAGCAGUACAGAGGAAUGUAGGCUGUAAACCUAAUCUUCACUUUGAAAGUAGAGUGAAGAUUCAGUCUCCUUAGAUGGGGGGUCAUAACUUAGUGAAUUGUACCAGAAACAGCAAACAAAAAGUAAAGGAAAAUGUUUUUCUUUUAUUAAUUUUCUUUCUGUAUAACAGAAAAGCAAUGUAACAGGGUGAAAAAACACAUUUAAAAGAGAUGAAUGCAUUUCCUGAAGAUGCUGAUUGUUGAAGGGAGAGCAACCAGUGUGGGUGUGUGUGUGUCACUGUGCCUCUGUGUGACACUGGAUUGCUUUGUGUACUUUUGGGUGUUUGUUAUUUUCUGUAUGUGUGUGUGUUACUCUGUUGCUGUCUGUAUGUGUGGUACCAUGUUAAUUUUAAUGUUUCUGUUUUAAGCAAUUAGCUCAACAGGACUCAUGCUACCAAGAAGGUCAACCUAUUUAUUAUUAUU
This is a long non-coding RNA of Monopterus albus (swamp eel), 1638 nucleotides long. RefSeq lists it as uncharacterized. The transcript has 2 exons. The record is from RefSeq and is a predicted model, not a curated record. Lineage: Eukaryota; Metazoa; Chordata; Actinopteri; Synbranchiformes; Synbranchidae.